Molecule: ribosomal RNA, 500 nt
Filed under: uncultured bacterium
Lineage: Bacteria
Description: partial 16S ribosomal RNA
Rfam family: Bacterial small subunit ribosomal RNA
Source: RNAcentral
AUUGAACGCUGGCGGCAUGCCUUACACAUGCAAGUCGAACGGCAGCACGGGAGCAAUCCUGGUGGCGAGUGGCGAACGGGUGAGUAAUAUAUCGGAACGUGCCCAGUCGUGGGGGAUAACGCAGCGAAAGCUGUGCUAAUACCGCAUACGAUCUAAGGAUGAAAGCGGGGGAUCGCAAGACCUCGCGCGAUUGGAGCGGCCGAUAUCAGAUUAGCUAGUUGGUGGGGUAAAGGCCCACCAAGGCGACGAUCUGUAGCUGGUCUGAGAGGACGAACAGCCACGCUGGAACUGGGACACGGUCCAGACUCCUGCGGGAGGCAGCAGUGGGGAAUUUUGGACAAUGGGCGCAAGCCUGAUCCAGCAAUGCCGCGUGCAGGAUGAAGGCCUUCGGGUUGUAAACUGCUUUUGUACGGAACGAAACGGCCCUUUCUAAUACAGGGGGCUAAUGACGGUACCGUAAGAAUAAGCACCGGCUAACUACGUGCCAGCCGCCGCCGUAA